This is a long non-coding RNA of Papaver somniferum (opium poppy), 1101 nucleotides long. RefSeq lists it as uncharacterized. The record is from RefSeq and is a predicted model, not a curated record. NCBI's taxonomy places the organism in Eukaryota, Viridiplantae, Streptophyta, Magnoliopsida, Ranunculales, Papaveraceae. The transcript is spliced from 2 exons.
ACAUUUCAGUCAGUGCAGUGAGGCAUCAGGGGUUCAUCUUCAUUGUUUAUGAGCUACGCUGCUAAGCUAUCACUUCCUCCACCUCCAAAACCAAAACAACACAGUAGCAUCACAGCCAUGCCUCGGAUUGAAAUACGAGUCAUCACUGACCUACAUAAGGAUGUAAUUAUUAUCUACAGGAACGCGGCAUAUAAACACAAAUUCAUCUAUUUGAAAAGAAAGAUUAAUGAAUCUAUAGGCAUUUCUCCGUUUCGCCAGAUUCUUACUCUGAAUCUACCAGGAGGAGAUAAUAGGGUUAUUGAAGGUGCGAAGCUUAAUCACAAGUUCUCGAUGUAUUACACUAGGGGAAAAGAAUUUUUGGAAAAUCACUUUAACUGUGACUCCUGAAAGGAGUAGAGAUCAUCUUAUAGAAGUUAGUUUGUUCCGUCUGGUGAACGGGAAAAAGAAAGAAACUAGAGAUGCCAUGGUGGUAGUGGACAAGGAUGAUACUGUGUUGACACUAAAAUGGAAAUUAUGUGACCUUGGCUUUGGGGAAGGGUUAGUCUGUACAUGUGAGCGCUUUGAUAAAACGACAGGGAAGAAAGUUCAUGAAGAGCUACUAGAUAAUUAUAUGGUGUCGUACUACUGUGAAGACGGGGAGGUGGUAUGUUUUCACGACCCCCUGCCGGUUAAGAGUCCUAUGGUUAUGGUGCUGGACGUCUCAUCGGAUUCUGACUCACAAGAUGAGGGCAUCAUGAUAGAAGAAGAAGAAGGGCUCGACACUGAUCGAAGUGUUUUAUCUUCCUAAGCUGCUAAUGUUAUGGGGUUAGAUGGGCUUUAACUUUACAGAUUUUCUAUUUGUUUUUGAUGGAUGUUAGUACCUAUUUCCUUUCUUGAUUUUGAACAUCCAUACAUGCUAUUGUUCAGCAAUUAAACUCCACCAGGGAAAGCCAGACAAACACUGAAGAAAUACUUGUGAUGGUGAUGUAAUUAGGAUCAGUAUUUGGGAGAAAUUGUGGUUUAUUUGGUUGCUUUAUGUUUUCCAUUGUGUUGUUUUAUGGAUUUUGGUAGGUUGGAUUUGAUCGUUACUUCUUUUGUUAUAACCACUGAAUGGUUUUUCUA